UUAACCACAAUAAGGUAUACUGAUAAUUUACAAAUGAUUGUUUACUAACAAUAUCAGUACCUCUUAUCGAUUCAAUAAUUAUGUAUAGAGUAAUAAUUUUAAAAUUUUAAUUAAUUGAUGAUCCACAGAAUGUUAUGUUUUUGAUGGCCCUAUUGAGGCUUAUAAUUUGGAAGAAACUGAAAAGGAAAGUCAAUCUACAUCAGAUGCCGGUACGUUGGAAGCUGAUCCGUUUUUCGAAACCCCUUCAACAUCAUUCAAGUCUUUUAAGGCGAAUUCAAUGCCAGAAAAGUCUUUCGACAAACCAUCGAUGGCUAAAAAGGCAUCAGAUCAAAAAAAAUUAAAAAAAGUACUGAUAUAAAGAAUUGGAGCAAAAAUGAGGUUUUACUUCUUAUUGCGGCUUAUAAAGAACAUCAACUUGAAUUCCUGGACGUAAAUGUUAACAAUGAUGAAGUUUGGAAAAAAGUUGCGAAUGACGUCAACGAAACCCUUAGUGUGCAGGACUUGCCGCCCAUUGCUAACGAGAAAUUGAAGACUAAAUGGGAAACGCUCAAACGUCAUUACAAAGGUUUAAAAGAUAGCAACAAAAAAUCGGGGAACUCCUCAAUAACAUGGGCUUUCUAUGAUGAAAUGGAAGAAGUAUUUGGUGAGCAACCAUGGGUUAAACCUCUUUCUACUGCCGGAUCAAAUUCUACCAAUAAAAUGGGUACU
Pieris napi is the source of this 708-nucleotide long non-coding RNA. RefSeq lists it as uncharacterized. The transcript has 3 exons. The record is from RefSeq and is a predicted model, not a curated record. Lineage: Eukaryota; Metazoa; Arthropoda; Insecta; Lepidoptera; Pieridae.